GCAAGUUUGUACACUUAGAUGACAUCUGCCUCUCAUUGACUUCCAGGGUGGACUCAGCUCGUCUGGCUGGCUAAGCAGUGUCUCCUUCCUCUCGCAUGGCUCCAUGUGUGUCCCUCCUAAAGUUUCUUGCCAGGUGGGAGAGGAAGAGGGCCAUUCUUCAGUCACAAGUGGCGUAUACAAGUAUACAAGUGGCGUGGUCCUCAGGUAGAACCUCCAUACACAUUGUCAGGGUGUUACUACUCUGUAAUUUGCAUAUGAGGAGUGACGAGGUAAUAUAAAUUUCUCAAGGUGUGAGAAAAU
Molecule: small nuclear RNA, 300 nt
Filed under: Pteropus vampyrus (large flying fox)
Lineage: Eukaryota; Metazoa; Chordata; Mammalia; Chiroptera; Pteropodidae
Description: 7SK RNA (ENSPVAG00000029229.1)
Rfam family: 7SK RNA
About the family: 7SK was discovered as an abundant small nuclear RNA in the mid-70s but a possible function has only recently been suggested.
Source: Rfam by way of RNAcentral